GAAAGUGAGCACGGGUUGGUAAAGCGAAGCAACCUACCUUAAUACAGGGGGAUAGGCAAGAGAAAUUGGGAUUAACCCCGCCAUAAAAUCACAGACACCAUUGUACAAUGAUUCAAAUAUUUAUAGGAUUAAGAUGGGCAUGCGUGACCUUAGUUAGUUGGCGGGGUAACGGCCCACCAAGACCACGAUGUCUAGGGGAUCUAAGAGGAUGACCCCCCACACUGGUACUGAGACACGGACCAGAUCCUUCGGGGAGGCAGCAGUAAGGAAUAUUGGUCAAUGGAGGCAACUCUGAACCAGCCAUGCCGCGUGCAGGAAGACAGCCCUCUGGGUCGUAAACUGCUUUUAUUCGGGAAUAAACCUACUUACGUGUAAGUAGCUGAAUGUACCGAAGGAAUAAGGAUCGGCUAACUCCGUGCCAGCAGCCGCCGUAAUACGGAGGAUCCAAGCGUUAUCCGGAUUUAUUGGGUUUAAAGGGUGCGUAGGCGGCUUUUUAAGUCAGGGGUGAAAGACGGUAGCUCAACUAUCGCAGUGCCCUUGAUACUGAAGAGCUUGAAUGGACUAGAGGUAGGCGGAAUGUGACAAGUAGCGGUGAAAUGCAUAGAUAUGUCACAGAACACCGAUUGCGAAGGCAGCUUACUAUGGUUUUAUUGCCGCUGAGGCACGAAAGCGUGGGGAUCAAACAGGAUUAGAUACCCUGGUAGUCCACGCCCUAAACGAUGAAUACUCGCUGUUAGCGAUACACAGUUAGCGGCUAAGCGAAAGCGUUAAGUAUUCCACCUGGGGAGUACGGUCGCAAGAUUGAAACUCAAACGAAUUGACGG
RNAcentral lists this ribosomal RNA (824 nucleotides) under uncultured bacterium. RNAcentral describes it as "bacterial SSU rRNA". It matches the Rfam family "Bacterial small subunit ribosomal RNA", at positions 92 to 916 of the family's 1533-position model. The record is from RNAcentral.